AACGAACGCUGGCGGCAUGCCUAACACAUGCAAGUCGAACGAGACCUUCGGGUCUAGUGGCGCACGGGUGCGUAACGCGUGGGAACCUGCCCUUAGGUUCGGAAUAACUCCCCGAAAGGGGUGCUAAUACCGGAUAAUGUCUUCGGACCAAAGAUUUAUCGACUUUGGAUGGGCCCGCGUUGGAUUAGCUAGUUGGUAGGGUAAAAGCCUACCAAGGCGACGAUCCAUAGCUGGUCUGAGAGGAUGGUCAGCCACACUGGGACUAAGACACGGCCCAGACUCUUACGGGAGGCGGCAGAGGGGAAUAUUGGAAUAUGGGGGAAGGCCUGAACCAGCAAUGCCGCGUGAGUGAUGAAGGCCUUAGGGUUGUAAAGCUCUUUUACCCGGGAUGAUAAUGACAGUACCGGGAGAAUAAGCUCCGGCUAACUCCGUG
Molecule: ribosomal RNA, 433 nt
Filed under: uncultured bacterium
Lineage: Bacteria
Description: partial 16S ribosomal RNA
Rfam family: Bacterial small subunit ribosomal RNA
Source: RNAcentral